GAUGAAGAACGUAGCGAAUUGCGAUAAGUAAUGUGAAUUGCAGAUUUUCAGUGAAUCAUCGAAUCUUUGAACGCACCUUGCGCUCCUUGGUAUUCCGAGGAGCAUGCCUGUUUGAGUGUCAUGAAACUCUCACCCUCUAGCUUUCUUAAUCGUGGCUAGCGGCGUGGACGUGAGCGCUGCUGCUUUGUUGCGGCUCGCUCGAAAUGUAUUAGCAGACCCUUUUCGUAAUCGGUUCCACUCAACGUGAUAAGUAUUUCGUUGAGGACAGUUGCAGCAAUGCGGCUGGCCGGGAUAAGAAAGGCAUAGUUGUCAGCUUCUAAUCGCCCUUGGGCAAUUUUUUAUGAUCUGGCCUCAAAUCAGGUAGGACUACCCGCUGAACUUAAGCAUAUCAAUAAGCGGAGGA
RNAcentral lists this unclassified non-coding RNA (403 nucleotides) under soil metagenome. RNAcentral's name for it is "partial contains 5.8S ribosomal RNA, internal transcribed spacer 2, and large subunit ribosomal RNA". The stretch from base 1 to 121 matches the Rfam family "5.8S ribosomal RNA", at positions 35 to 154 of the family's 154-position model. The record is from RNAcentral.